Molecule: ribosomal RNA, 251 nt
Filed under: uncultured bacterium
Lineage: Bacteria
Description: partial 16S ribosomal RNA
Rfam family: Bacterial small subunit ribosomal RNA
Source: RNAcentral
UUGAUGGCGAGUGGCGAACGGGUGAGUAACGCGUAGGAAUAUGCCUUAAAGUGGGGGAUAACUUGGGGAAACCCAAGCUAAUACCGCGUAUGCUCUCCGGAGUAAAGCUAGGGACCUUCGGGCCUGGCGCUUUAAGAAUAGCCUGCGUCUGAUUAGCUAGUUGGUGGGGUAAAGGCCUACCAAGGCGAUGAUCGGUAGCUGGUCUGAGAGGAUGGACAGCCACACUGGGACUGAGACACGGCCCAGACUCC